CUACACUGGCCGCACUCUGGUGCCCGCGUGCGCUUUUCAACGGCGCGCGCAGUUAAACGGGAAGCAGGGGGCGCGGUUCGCCAGAACGCGCCAACCUGCGCUGCCCCCGCAACGGUAAGCGACCGCAUUCGUCUGCAAGUCGAUCCUGACCGCGUGUUGAAAGUUCAACUCGCGAGUGUGCCACUGCGCGUCACGCGUGGGAAGGCGGGAUCGAGAGGUCGCCAGCCCGGAUACCGGCCAGAGGGAGAGGCACGUC
Molecule: non-coding RNA, 256 nt
Filed under: Paraburkholderia xenovorans
Lineage: Bacteria; Pseudomonadati; Pseudomonadota; Betaproteobacteria; Burkholderiales; Burkholderiaceae
Also listed under: 1 other name
Source: RNAcentral